This 74-nucleotide transfer RNA is filed under the name Myotis myotis. It matches the Rfam family "tRNA". From Rfam's summary of the family: Transfer RNA (tRNA) molecules are approximately 80 nucleotides in length. Their secondary structure includes four short double-helical elements and three loops (D, anti-codon, and T loops). Lineage: Eukaryota; Metazoa; Chordata; Mammalia; Chiroptera; Vespertilionidae. The record is from Rfam by way of RNAcentral. RNAcentral also lists the same sequence under 1 other name.
GCCUGGGUGACUCAGUUGGUUAGAGUGUUGUCCUGUACACCAAAAGGUUGUGGGUUUGAUUCCCAGUCAAGGCG